Molecule: ribosomal RNA, 305 nt
Filed under: uncultured bacterium
Lineage: Bacteria
Description: bacterial SSU rRNA
Rfam family: Bacterial small subunit ribosomal RNA
Source: RNAcentral
CUCCUACGGGGGGCAGCAGUGAGGAAUAUUGGUCAAUGGGCGGGAGCCUGAACCAGCCAAGUCGCGUGAGGGAAGACGGUCCUAUGGAUUGUAAACCUCUUUUGUCAGGGAGCAAGGUGCAGGUCGGGACCUGCUGUGAGAGUACCUGAAGAAAAAGCAUCGGCUAACUCCGUGCCAGCAGCCGCGGUAAUACGGAGGAUGCGAGCGUUAUCCGGAUUUAUUGGGUUUAAAGGGUGCGCAGGCGGCGAGUUAAGUCAGCGGUAAAAUUUCGGGGCUCAACCCCGACGAGCCGUUGAAACUGGCUC